UGGGGAAUAUUGCACAAUGGGCGCAAGCCUGAUGCAGCAACGCCGCGUGAACGAUGAAGGUCUUCGGAUCGUAAAGUUCUGUUGCAGGGGAAGAUAAUGACGGUACCCUGUGAGGAAGCCCCGGCUAACUACGUGCCAGCAGCCGCGGUAAUACGUAGGGGGCUAGCGUUAUCCGGAUUUACUGGGCGUAAAGUGUGCGUAGGUGGUCUUUCAAGUCGGUGGUUAAAGGCUACGGCUCAACCGUAGUUAGCCUCCGAAACUGGAAGACUUGAGUGCAGGAGAGGAAAGUGGAAUUCCCAGUGUAGCGGUGAAAUGCGUAGAUAUUGGGAGGAACACCAGUAGCGAAGGCGGCUUUCUGGACUGCAACUGACACUGAGGCACGAAAGCGUGGGUAGCAAACAGG
This 403-nucleotide ribosomal RNA is filed under the name Verrucomicrobiota bacterium. RNAcentral describes it as "Verrucomicrobia bacterium partial 16S ribosomal RNA". It matches the Rfam family "Bacterial small subunit ribosomal RNA", at positions 355 to 776 of the family's 1533-position model. Lineage: Bacteria; Pseudomonadati; Verrucomicrobiota. The record is from RNAcentral.